UGAAGGAUGGAAGGAGGAAGGGGGAAAUGGUCUUAUAGGAAAAUGGUACGUAGAAGUCAUGCCUUGAUAAGGAAUAAGUUCCUUCUCCUCUUAGGAGGGUAUUAGGGAGGGCGAAGCAAAGCGAAUAAUAUGUGGCAAAGCUAGAGAAGGGGAUGGCAAUUUGUCAUGGCUUGAAAGAUUAUGUUUAGCAUUGCUUGAAAAAUGCAGCUGUAGUUUUCAGUAGGG
Molecule: unclassified non-coding RNA, 225 nt
Filed under: Hevea brasiliensis (rubber tree)
Lineage: Eukaryota; Viridiplantae; Streptophyta; Magnoliopsida; Malpighiales; Euphorbiaceae
Source: RNAcentral